CCAAAAUCAAGAGCAAUCCUGAGGUCGUGCGUUCGAUCCGCAAUCUUCUUUUUUCA
This 56-nucleotide transfer RNA is filed under the name Polymyxa betae. Its description in RNAcentral is "tRNA-Met". The record is from RNAcentral. Lineage: Eukaryota; Endomyxa; Phytomyxea; Plasmodiophorida; Plasmodiophoridae.